UACGAAGGGGGCUAGCGUUGCUCGGAAUCACUGGGCGUAAAGGGUGCGUAGGUGGGUCUUUAAGUCAGAGGUGAAAUCCUGGAGCUCAACUCCAGAACUGCCUUUGAUACUGAGGAUCUUGAGUAUGGGAGAGGUGAGUGGAACUGCGAGUGUAGAGGUGAAAUUCGUAGAUAUUCGCAAGAACACCAGUGGCGAAGGCGGCUCACUGGCCCAUUACUGACGCUGAGGCACGAAAGCGUGGGGAGCAAACAGG
RNAcentral lists this ribosomal RNA (253 nucleotides) under uncultured bacterium. Its description in RNAcentral is "partial 16S ribosomal RNA". It matches the Rfam family "Bacterial small subunit ribosomal RNA", at positions 524 to 776 of the family's 1533-position model. The record is from RNAcentral.